GUGGCUCCAUGGUAGAGCAUCUGCUCGGCAUGCAGAAGGUCCCAGGUUCAAUCCCCAUCAUCUCCA
This 66-nucleotide transfer RNA is filed under the name Sphaerodactylus townsendi. RNAcentral's name for it is "tRNA-Ala". The record is from RNAcentral. Lineage: Eukaryota; Metazoa; Chordata; Lepidosauria; Squamata; Sphaerodactylidae.